ACAGAGGGUGCAAACGUUGUUCGGAAUCACUGGGCAUAAAGCGCGCGUAGGCGGUUCGCUAAGUCAGGUGUGAAAGCCCUCGGCUCAACCGAGGAAUGGCAUCUGAUACUGGCGAGCUCGAGGAUGGCAGGGUGAGCGGAACUCCAGGUGGAGCGGUGAAAUGCGUAGAUAUCUGGAGGAACACCGGUGGCGAAAGCGGCUCACUGGACCAUAUCUGACGCUGAGGUGCGAAAGCGUGGGGAGCAAACGGGA
Molecule: ribosomal RNA, 252 nt
Filed under: uncultured prokaryote
Description: partial 16S ribosomal RNA
Rfam family: Bacterial small subunit ribosomal RNA
Source: RNAcentral